Molecule: ribosomal RNA, 873 nt
Filed under: Aspergillus ruber
Lineage: Eukaryota; Fungi; Ascomycota; Eurotiomycetes; Eurotiales; Aspergillaceae
Description: eukaryotic LSU rRNA
Rfam family: Eukaryotic large subunit ribosomal RNA
Source: RNAcentral
CGGAGGAAAAGAAACCAACAGGGAUUGCCUCAGUAACGGCGAGUGAAGCGGCAAGAGCUCAAAUUUGAAAUCUGGCUCCUUCGGGGUCCGAGUUGUAAUUUGUAGAGGAUGCUUCGGGUGCGGCCCCCGUCUAAGUGCUCUGGAACGGGCCAUCGGAGAGGGUGAAAAUCCCGUCUGGGAUGGGGUGUCCGCGUCCAUGUGAAGCUCCUUCGACGAGUCGAGUUGUUUGGGAAUGCAGCUCUAAAUGGGUGGUAAAUUUCAUCUAAAGCUAAAUACUGGCCGGAGACCGAUAGCGCACAAGUAGAGUGAUCGAAAGAUGAAAAGCACUUUGAAAAGAGAGUUAAACAGCACGUGAAAUUGUUGAAAGGGAAGCGCUUGCGACCAGACUCGCUUCCGGGGUUCAGCCGGCUUUCGGGCCGGUGUACUUCCCCGGGGGCGGGCCAGCGUCGGUUUGGGCGGCCGGUCAAAGGCCCCUGGAAUGUAACGCCUCUCGGGGCGCCUUAUAGUCAGGGGUGUCAUGCGGCCAGCCUGGACCGAGGAACGCGCUUCGGCACGGACGCUGGCAUAAUGGUCGUAAACGACCCGUCUUGAAACACGGACCAAGGAGUCUAACAUCUACGCGAGUGUUCGGGUGUCAAACCCGUGCGCGCAGUGAAAGCGAACGGAGGUGGGAGCCCCCUCGAGGGGCGCACCAUCGACCGAUCCUGAUGUCUUCGGAUGGAUUUGAGUAAGAGCGUAGCUGUGGGGACCCGAAAGAUGGUGAACUAUGCCUGAAUAGGGCGAAGCCAGAGGAAACUCUGGUGGAGGCUCGCAGCGGUUCUGACGUGCAAAUCGAUCGUCAAAUUUGGGUAUAGGGGCGAAAGACUAAUCGAA